GAAGAAUCAGACAGCUCCAUCUAUUUAGGGUUCCCCUGCACCUCCCUUGCUCCUCUGAAUCCGAUCAGCUCUGUAGAAAGCAACCAAGUUUCUUCUGUGAAGCCUCCCUACACCCAGCAUGGGAUCAAAGUAGUGAAACGGAGCCUAGCUGCCAUGAGAUGUUCCCGCCGUCUGCUUCUUCCUCCUUGUUCCUGUCUCUGCACACGUCUUAGCGUUCUUCCUUGUUCAUCUCUGUAGGGUGCAGAUGGGACCAUUGCCAUGAUCACCACCGUCAGAGUCCACUUACUGAACGCCUGCCCUGUGCUAACCACCACGUUUGCAACUUGACAUGAACUACGUCAUAUACUCCUCACAAAACCUAGCGAAGCAGAAGUAUCGCCCCGCUUUAAUGAUGGUGACACUGAGGCAAAGACAGUUUAACAGGCUGGCCAAAGCCCGCACAGAUGAGUGGGUCUUUGAACUGUAAGCUUCUCUCUUCUGAAGGGAAUUUAGAACCUUCAGAAAAAUUGUGACAGAGGCACAGGUACUUUAAGCACCCUUCAGUACCCCUUCCUAACUUCCUUUCUCUCUCUUUCUUUUCUUUCUUCCCUCCCUCCUGCCCUCCCUUCCUCCCUCCUUCUCUUCCUCUUUCUGUCUUCCUUUCUUGCUUGCUUGCUUUCUGUACUGGAGCUGAACCCAGGGCCUUCCACUGAGCUACAUCCCCAACACGUUUUCAUUUUUUGAGACAGGGUCUCCCUGAGUUGUCCAGGCUGGCCUUGAACUCGUGCUCCUCCUGGCUAACUGGGAUCACAGGCAUACACCGUAGCAUCUGGCUCAAUACCCUCCUUCCCACCACCGGGAAACUACUGUUCUCCACAGCUUUCUCCAACUGCCAGGAAUCUCAUCACUCCCAACCGUAUCUUUCUUGGAAGUUUCUACUGAAACCUUCUUCAGUGACUCCAAGUGGAUGUUGCUACUUUCAAAGUUCUAACAACUCUGUGCCCUCAGCAAUCUCAAGUCCAUCCCCAGACUUCUCAGAACAGCGAACAUGGGGCUUUUCCAUUCAGAAACACCAGAACAGCCACGCUGGGGAUGCAGCCCCACGGUAGAGCACUGCCCAGCAUGAGCAGCCCUGGACGUGACUCCGGCACUGUGCAUCAUCCAUUCUGUCAACCAGUCCAGAGCAACAGCAAUUGUUUAAGGCCAUUGCUCUGAAUCCAGAGCAUAUUGAGGGGAAUGUACGGGCA
This is a long non-coding RNA of Heterocephalus glaber (naked mole-rat), 1226 nucleotides long. NCBI's taxonomy places the organism in Eukaryota, Metazoa, Chordata, Mammalia, Rodentia, Bathyergidae. The record is from Ensembl.